GCGCCAAUAGCUCAGUUGGAUAGAGCAUCAGCCUUCUAAGCUGAGGGUCGCAGGUUCGAAUCCUGCUUGGCGUA
RNAcentral lists this transfer RNA (74 nucleotides) under Bacteroidota bacterium. RNAcentral describes it as "tRNA-Arg". It matches the Rfam family "tRNA". From Rfam's summary of the family: Transfer RNA (tRNA) molecules are approximately 80 nucleotides in length. Their secondary structure includes four short double-helical elements and three loops (D, anti-codon, and T loops). RNAcentral also lists the same sequence under 1 other name. The record is from RNAcentral. Lineage: Bacteria; Pseudomonadati; Bacteroidota.